RNAcentral lists this ribosomal RNA (1158 nucleotides) under Pectinariophyes stalii. Its description in RNAcentral is "SSU rRNA". It matches the Rfam family "Eukaryotic small subunit ribosomal RNA", at positions 700 to 1752 of the family's 1831-position model. The record is from RNAcentral. Lineage: Eukaryota; Metazoa; Arthropoda; Insecta; Hemiptera; Machaerotidae.
CUGUCGGUGUUAACUGGCAUGUUCUGUGGAACGUCCUGCCGGUGGCGGUCCGGGCUCUCGUUCUGCGUAAGGGUCUCCCGAAGCAGGGCGAAAAGUUCCGGCCGCCGGUUCAAUCCCGCCACGGUGCUCUUCACCGAGUGUCGAGGUGGGCCGGCACUUUUACUUUGAACAAAUUAGAGUGCUUAAAGCAGGCGGUUUCCGCCUGAAUACUGUGUGCAUGGAAUAAUGGAAUAGGACCUCGGUUCUAUUUUGUUGGUUUUCAGAACCCGAGGUAAUGAUUAAUAGGGACAGGCGGGGGCAUUCGUAUUGCGACGUUAGAGGUGAAAUUCUUGGAUCGUCGCAAGACGAACCUAAGCGAAAGCAUUUGCCAAGUAUGUUCUCGUUAAUCAAGAACGAAAGUUAGAGGUUCGAAGGCGAUCAGAUACCGCCCUAGUUCUAACCAUAAACGAUGCCAGCCAGCGAUCCGCCGAAGUUCCUCCGAUGACUCGGCGGGCAGCUUCCGGGAAACCAAAGCUUUUGGGUUCCGGGGGAAGUAUGGUUGCAAAGCUGAAACUUAAAGGAAUUGACGGAAGGGCACCACCAGGAGUGGAGCCUGCGGCUUAAUUUGACUCAACACGGGAAACCUCACCAGGCCCGGACACCGGAAGGAUUGACAGAUUGAGAGCUCUUUCUUGAUUCGGUGGGUGGUGGUGCAUGGCCGUUCUUAGUUGGUGGAGCGAUUUGUCUGGUUAAUUCCGAUAACGAACGAGACUCUAGCCUGUUAACUAGGCGAUUUCCGGUACCCAUAAUAGUGUUACCGGCGAUUCAAUUUCUUCUUAGAGGGACAGGCGGCUUCUAGCCGCACGAGACUGAGCAAUAACAGGUCUGUAAUGCCCUUAGAUGUUCUGGGCCGCACGCGCGCUACACUGAAGGAAUCAGCGUGUCUUCCCUGGCCGACAGGCCCGGGUAACCCGUUGAACCUCCUUCGUGCUAGGGAUUGGGGCUUGCAAUUGUUCCCCAUGAACGAGGAAUUCCCAGUAAGCGCGAGUCAUAAGCUCGCGUUGAUUACGUCCCUGCCCUUUGUACACACCGCCCGUCGCUACUACCGAUUGAAUGAUUUAGUGAGGUCUUCGGACUGGUGCGCGGCUGUCGGGUCUCCGGCAGCCGAUGUUGCCGGAA